GGAUUUGUUCAUUGGCUGAUAAACGGAUCUUUGGGAAGUCGAGAAAGGAUUGGGAACAUAGCGUUGGGGAAGUAGAGGUGUGGAAAUGGUGAAACUUUUAUGACAGUUUUGACAAAGGAUUUGGGAAGUGGGUCGUUUGCUUUGGGCGGAGUGUGUGCAUUGAUUUGAAUUGCCUGUACCUACAUAGAGAUUACUCUGUAGGUGUCUGGCCAGUGAAUAUUGCAUGUACCCGCUUAUGUGGGUGUCCGGCCAAUGAUUUGCAUGUACCUGCAUUGAGAUCACUUUGCAGGUGUCCGGCCAGUUCCCCAGCCACCUGCCUGAUUUUGUCUACACAGGUGGUUAGCCAGUUUUCCCUAUUCCCCGGUUGCCCUCUGGAUAUUGCCUGUACCUACAUCAAGAUUACUCUGUAGGUGUCUGGCCAAUUCCCCAGCCACCUGCCCGAUUUGUCUACAUAGGUGGUUG
Molecule: long non-coding RNA, 462 nt
Filed under: Prunus persica (peach)
Lineage: Eukaryota; Viridiplantae; Streptophyta; Magnoliopsida; Rosales; Rosaceae
Description: long non-coding RNA (PPER_LNC004483)
Source: RNAcentral